Molecule: small nuclear RNA, 114 nt
Filed under: Carlito syrichta (Philippine tarsier)
Lineage: Eukaryota; Metazoa; Chordata; Mammalia; Primates; Tarsiidae
Description: U5 spliceosomal RNA (ENSTSYG00000020155.2)
Rfam family: U5 spliceosomal RNA
About the family: U5 RNA is a component of both types of known spliceosome. The precise function of this molecule is unknown, though it is known that the 5' loop is required for splice site selection and p220 binding, and that both the 3' stem-loop and the Sm site are important for Sm protein binding and cap methylation.
Source: Rfam by way of RNAcentral
AAACUCUGGUUUCUCUUCAAAUUGUAUAAAUCUUUCACCUUUUACUGAAGAUUUUCAUGGAGAGGGACAACUCUGAGACUUUAACAUUCUCAAGUAUACUAAGAUUUAGGAUAA